GACGAACGCUGGCGGCGUGCUUAACACAUGCAAGUCGAACGGUGAAGCGCCUUCCUUUUUGGUGGGUGUGGAUGAGUGGCGAACGGGUGAGUAACACGUGAGUAACCUGCCCCCUUCUUCUGGAUAACCGCAUGAAAGGGUGGCUAAUACGGGAUAUUCUGGGUCUGUCGCAUGAUGGGUCGGGGAAAGAUUUUGUUUCGGUGGGGGAUGGGCUCGCGGCCUAUCAGCUUGUUGGUGGGGUGAUGGCCUACCAAGGCGGUGACGGGUAGCCGGCCUGAGAGGGUGGACGGUCACACUGGGACUGAGACACGGCCCAGACUCCUACGGGAGGCAGCAGUGGGGAAUAUUGCACAAUGGGCGCAAGCCUGAUGCAGCGACGCCGCGUGAGGGAUGGAGGCCUUCGGGUUGUGAACCUCUUUCGCCAGUGAAGCAGGCCUGCCUCGUUUGUGGGUGGGUUGACGGUAGCUGGAUAAGAAGCGCCGGCUAACUACGUG
Molecule: ribosomal RNA, 494 nt
Filed under: uncultured bacterium
Lineage: Bacteria
Description: partial 16S ribosomal RNA
Rfam family: Bacterial small subunit ribosomal RNA
Source: RNAcentral